This 255-nucleotide ribosomal RNA is filed under the name uncultured bacterium. RNAcentral's name for it is "partial 16S ribosomal RNA". It matches the Rfam family "Bacterial small subunit ribosomal RNA", at positions 524 to 776 of the family's 1533-position model. The record is from RNAcentral.
UACGUAGGAGGCAAGCGUUGUCCGGAAUUACUGGGCGUAAAGCGCGUGUAGGUGGUGGGACAAGUCUGCUGUGAAAGCGCCUGGCUUAACCGGGCGAGGUCGGCGGAAACUGUCCGACUCGAGGACGGUAGAGGGGGGGGUGGAAUUCCCGUGUAGUGGUGAAAUGCGUAGAGAUCGGGAGGAACACCUGUGGCGAAGGCGGCCCCCUGGCCGGCCCUGACACUGAGACGCGAAGGCGUGGGGGGAGCGAACGGG